Long non-coding RNA from Ornithodoros turicata, 1677 nucleotides. RefSeq lists it as uncharacterized. The record is from RefSeq and is a predicted model, not a curated record. Lineage: Eukaryota; Metazoa; Arthropoda; Arachnida; Ixodida; Argasidae. The transcript has 2 exons.
UCAUCUUGGAUUCGGUCAUCUAUUUUCACACUCUUUCAGGAACUACAUACUUUCCGUUCGAAAACUCGGCAGCUACUCGUAUCAACCACAUGUAACUAUAUCUGGAUGCCUGCAUGACUAAAGUUUCCCUAGAAAAUAUUAUGUUGAUCAGCGGUUCGAACAAGUUGGUCUGCCUCGUCUGAUUGUGCGUUCCAGCCUCAGGACACUUUCCAUGCAUCAACUUCAUCCAAGGUUUGACCUACCAGUGAGAAAAUAAUCCACGGAAAGAAAGUAAAUUGGGCUGACGAACCUUUUCUUCCUUACAUUUUCCAUUGUACACGUCGUCAGAUAUGUCGUUUCACCCAAUGAAUCUGCUACAAUAAUUCAUUUUCUCUUUCUCCUACAAUACAACUAGGAAUGGAAGGUAUUUCGAGAGCCUUUACUAAAAAAGAAGUAAAAACGUGGCCACUUCUGAAGAGGAUAAUUUUCUCCAACCCGGGACACGGAGACAUUUCUCUCUCCAUAGAGUUUCUUCGUGUGUUUUCUAUCUCGCUAUCGCGGUGCGUCUCCGGUUCAAGGCCUCGUCUUGCAUCUAUCUAUGCAUGCCCUUCUUCACUCGCUUAUCGUUGCGUUCUGAAAAAGCACCAUUCCCAAGGCUAUGGCUCUUUCGUGUGAAAUUGCAUUUAUUUUUCUUUUUUAAUCAGCCUGGCGGGGCGAAGCAUUCCUAUAUGACGCGUAAUAACCCCAUACCUCGGCAAAACUCACUCAUGCUCACUCGUGCUCAAUGUAGCGAAUGAGCUGAGCAGGGAACGAGUGAGCAUGAGUCAGCAAACGAGAAUAUGAACAUGGGCAAAACUCACUCGUGGUCAUGAAUGAGCAACGACCAGGAAGACAGAGCGCUCGAUCUAAGAAAGGUUUUUGAGGAAUAAUUUCGAUACUUUGCCCACAUACGUUUCACUAUCUCUGCUCUACAGUAUGAAAGCCUUCAAGAAGUGUCAGGCAGAGUACGUCCAUACAAAUGAAAAGCCAAUCUCACGACGUCAGCUUUAGCAUAAAGCCUCGCGAUCAAGGUUAUUGAUAAGGGGGAAUGUGUACCCAGAUCGAUAUUCAUCUCUUUCACGGUCGUCCCAUCAGCCGAACCUAAAAUCAUUACGGUUUAUACGGUUCAACUAAAGCACGUCCCCCCCCCCCCCCCCAAAAAAAAAAAAGAAACUCGUAACAAAUUAUGAUGGUCCUCGCUCAUUGCCCAAAUUGCCCCGAAUAGUGUUUAGACUGAAACCCCAUAGAAUCACAGUAUCCAGCAUAGAUCUGCACCAAAUCCUACUAUCACUGCACAUCAAUAUGAGAUUUUUGAAGGAGAUAUUGAAGCUGAGGAAAAUCUUCAAGCAGCUCCUACACGGCUGCGACAGAUAAUACGAGUGUAGAGGCCGUCCCUCUUCAAACGGUUAAUGCGGGGAUCAAAAGGAUGCUCUCACGUGUUCCGACAGACCUUCCAAACAGAACCCCAUCUCUACACAGCCACUUCGCGGCGCUAGCAAAAACAAGUUUGGUGACACCCGAGCAGCGUCCGCCAUCUCUGGACGGUGUUCCAAAGAGGAAAGGAUUUGUUGAAAACGGACCGUACUCGGUGGGACUGGGUCGUUCCUGCCUGUAUACCGCUGGAACUGAGAUGAAGCUAUAAAUAUCAUUUUCUCUUGA